AUGAACGCUGGCGGCGUGCCCAAUACAUGCAAGUCGAGCGAACGGACGAGAAGCUUGCUUUUUUGAUGUUAGCGGCGGACGGGUGAGUAACACGUGGAUAAACUACCUAUAAGACUGGGAUAACUUCGGGAAACCGGAGCUAAUACCGGAUAAUAUUUUGAACCGCAUGGUUCAAAAGUGAAAGAAGGUCUUGCUGUCACUUAUAGAUGGAUCCGCGCUGCAUUAGCUAGUUGGUAAGGUAACGGCUUACCAAGGCAACGAUGCAUAGCCGACCUGAGAGGGUGAUCGGCCACACUGGAACUGAGACACGGUCCAGACUCCUACGGGAGGCAGCAGUAGGGAAUCUUCCGCAAAGGGCGAAAGCCUGACGGAGCAACGCCGCGUGAGUGAUGAAGGUCUUCGGAUCGUAAAACUCUGUUAUUAGGGAAGAACAUAUGUGUAAGUAACUGUGCACAUCUUGACGGUACCUAAUCAGAAAGCCACGGCUAACUACGUG
RNAcentral lists this ribosomal RNA (496 nucleotides) under uncultured bacterium. RNAcentral describes it as "partial 16S ribosomal RNA". It matches the Rfam family "Bacterial small subunit ribosomal RNA", at positions 29 to 507 of the family's 1533-position model. The record is from RNAcentral.